Molecule: non-coding RNA, 93 nt
Filed under: Citricoccus sp. K5
Lineage: Bacteria; Bacillati; Actinomycetota; Actinomycetes; Micrococcales; Micrococcaceae
Description: SAM
Rfam family: SAM riboswitch aptamer (S box leader)
About the family: The SAM riboswitch is found upstream of a number of genes which code for proteins involved in methionine or cysteine biosynthesis in Gram-positive bacteria. The SAM riboswitch acts at the level of transcription termination control.
Source: RNAcentral
CCACCAUCCAGAGCGGCUGAGAGAUCUGGCUCGUCGACGCCGCAGCAACCCGCCCGUCAGGGGCCAGGGUGCUACCGCCAGGACCGAUGGAGC